This 450-nucleotide ribosomal RNA is filed under the name uncultured bacterium. RNAcentral describes it as "partial 16S ribosomal RNA". It matches the Rfam family "Bacterial small subunit ribosomal RNA", at positions 354 to 796 of the family's 1533-position model. The record is from RNAcentral.
GUGGGGAAUUUUGGACAAUGGGCGCAAGCCUGAUCCAGCAAUGCCGCGUGCAGGAAGAAGGCCUUCGGGUUGUAAACUGCUUUUGUACGGAACGAAACGGUCCGGGUUAAUACCCUGGGCUAAUGACGGUACCGUAAGAAUAAGCACCGGCUAACUACGUGCCAGCAGCCGCGGUAAUACGUAGGGUGCAAGCGUUAAUCGGAAUUACUGGGCGUAAAGCGUGCGCAGGCGGUUUUGUAAGACAGGCGUGAAAUCGCCGGGCUCAACCUGGGAACUGCAUUGGUGACUGCAAGGCUGGAGUGCGGCAGAGGGGGAUGGAAUUCCGCGUGUAGCAGUGAAAUGCGUAGAUAUGCGGAGGAACACCGAUGGCGAAGGCAAUCCCCUGGGCCUGCACUGACGCUCAUGCACGAAAGCGUGGGGAGCAAACAGGAUUAGAAACCCCGGUAGUCC